This 331-nucleotide long non-coding RNA is filed under the name Homo sapiens (human). RNAcentral describes it as "HSALNT0325880". Lineage: Eukaryota; Metazoa; Chordata; Mammalia; Primates; Hominidae. The record is from RNAcentral.
AGUGCCUGAUUCUCACAUCUCAGUGAAGCUCAUUCUUGCCUCUUCUUUAUAGAUUCAACAAUUACUUCUGUAGAAUGCCACCUUUAUGAAGGGACCAUGCCGGUUUUUACUGGGAAAAGUAACGAGUAAUCUAAACACAGUGUUACUCCACAUAUACACCAGAGAACAAGAGCUCAGUUCCAUGAAUAGAGCAGACUCCACUAUCUCCAUGAAAUUUUGGGAUGCAAGGUGCUAUGUAAGUGUGAAGCCACUACCAAGUUAUUCUCGUCUUAAUAAAGGACAAGUUGAUUUACUUUGUUACCCCACCAAUAAAAUACCGGAAUAAGACUUG